AAAAAAGGUAAGCUACUAAGAGCGAAUGGUGGAUGCCUUGACUGGUAAAGGCGAUGAAGGACGUACUAGACUGCGAUAAGCUACGGGGAGCUGUCAAGAAGCUUUGAUCCGUAGAUUUCCGAAUGGGGCAACCCAAUGUAUAGAGAUAUACAUUACCUAUAUAGGAGCGAACGAGGGGAAUUGAAACAUCUUAGUACCCUCAGGAAAAGAAAUCAAUAGAGAUUGCGUCAGUAGCGGCGAGCGAAAGCGCAAGAGGGCAAACCCAGUGCUUGCACUGGGGGUUGUAGGACUGCAAUGUGCAAGAGGUAAGUUUAGCAGAACAUUCUGGAAAGUAUAACCAUAGAGGGUGAUAGUCCCGUAUGCGAAAAACAAACCUUAGUUAGCAGUAUCCUGAGUAGGGCGGGACACGAGGAAUCCUGUCUGAAUCCGGGUCGACCACGAUCCAACCCUAAAUACUAAUACCAGAUCGAUAGUGCACAAGUACCGUGAGGGAAAGGUGAAAAGAACUGAGGUGAUCAGAGUGAAAUAGAACCUGAAACCAUUUGCUUACAAUCAUUCAGAGCCCUAUGUAGCAAUACAGGGUGAUGGACUGCCUUUUGCAUAAUGAGCCUGCGAGUUGUGGUGUCUGGCAAGGUUAAGCAAACGCGAAGCCGUAGCGAAAGCGAGUCUGAAUAGGGCGCUUAGUCAGAUGCUGCAGACCCGAAACGAAGUGAUCUAUCCAUGAGCAAGUUGAAGCUAGUGUAAGAACUAGUGGAGGACUGAACCCAUAGGCGUUGAAAAGCCCCGGGAUGACUUGUGGAUAGGGGUGAAAGGCCAAUCAAACUUCGUGAUAGCUGGUUCUCUCCGAAAUAUAUUUAGGUAUAGCGUUGUGUCGUAAUAUAAGGGGGUAGAGCACUGAAUGGGCUAGGGCAUACACCAAUGUACCAAACCCUAUCAAACUCCGAAUACCUUAUAUGUAAUCACAGCAGUCAGGCGGCGAGUGAUAAAAUCCGUCGUCAAGAGGGAAACAACCCAGACUACCAGCUAAGGUCCCUAAAUCUUACUUAAGUGGAAAACGAUGUGAAGUUACUUAAACAACCAGGAGGUUGGCUUAGAAGCAGCCAUCCUUUAAAGAAAGCGUAAUAGCUCACUGGUCUAGUGAUUUUGCGCGGAAAAUAUAACGGGGCUAAAGU
This 1172-nucleotide ribosomal RNA is filed under the name Campylobacter jejuni. RNAcentral describes it as "partial 23S ribosomal RNA". It matches the Rfam family "Bacterial large subunit ribosomal RNA", at positions 1 to 1188 of the family's 2925-position model. The record is from RNAcentral. Lineage: Bacteria; Pseudomonadati; Campylobacterota; Epsilonproteobacteria; Campylobacterales; Campylobacteraceae.